This 253-nucleotide ribosomal RNA is filed under the name uncultured microorganism. Its description in RNAcentral is "partial 16S ribosomal RNA". It matches the Rfam family "Bacterial small subunit ribosomal RNA", at positions 524 to 776 of the family's 1533-position model. The record is from RNAcentral.
UACGUAGGGUGCGAGCGUUAAUCGGAUUUACUGGGCGUAAAGCGUGCGCAGGCGGCCCGUUAAGACAGGUGUGAAAUCCCUGGGCUCAACCUAGGAAUUGCGCUUGUGACUGGCGGGCUCGAGUACGGUAGAGGGGGGUGGAAUUCCUGGUGUAGCAGUGAAAUGCGUAGAGAUCAGGAGGAACACCGAUGGCGAAGGCAGCCCCCUGGGCCUGUACUGAUGCUCAUGCACGAAAGCGUGGGGAGCAAACAGG